RNAcentral lists this ribosomal RNA (396 nucleotides) under uncultured bacterium. RNAcentral's name for it is "partial 16S ribosomal RNA". It matches the Rfam family "Bacterial small subunit ribosomal RNA", at positions 338 to 731 of the family's 1533-position model. The record is from RNAcentral.
CCUACGGGUGGCAGCAGUGAGGAAUAUUGUUCAAUGGGCGCGAGCCUGAACCAGCCAAGUAGCGUGAAGGAUGACUGCCCUACGUGUUGUAAACUUCUUUUAUCACGGAAUACAGUGAGGCACGUGUGCCUUUUUGAAUGUACUUUAUGAAUAAGGAUCGGCUAACUCCGUGCCAGCAGCCGCGGUAAUACGGAGGAUCCGAGCGUUAUCCGGAUUUAUUGGGUUUAAAGGGAGCGUAGAUGGGUUGUUAAGUCCGUUGUGAAAGGCUGCGGCUCAAACGUAAAAUUGCAAUUGAUACUGGCAGCCUUGAGUACGGGUGAGGUAGGCGGAAUGCGUGGUGUAGCGGUGAAAUGCUUAGAUAUCACGAAGAACUCCGAUUGCGAAGGCAGCAUACUA